Non-coding RNA from Anas platyrhynchos (mallard), 6787 nucleotides. NCBI's taxonomy places the organism in Eukaryota, Metazoa, Chordata, Aves, Anseriformes, Anatidae. The record is from RefSeq and is a predicted model, not a curated record.
UCUUUUUCUUUUCUGAACUAAUUUAUUUCCAAAAGUUCUUCUUUUUGAGGAAGAUGCCAAGUACUCCUUUAAUUGAAAUAUUUACUUUGAAAGAAAAAUCUUUAGAUCCAGCUUGUUUUCCACAGCAAAUGGUGGGACUUUCAGAUCCUUUCCUUUUUGCCCCUCUUCUCUUUUAUGAGCUUGGCCAAGUUUUAUCUCCCACAACAUAACUGUUUUCUCACAUCAUGACAGAAGACUGCGGUGUAUCACAGGAAAGAGAAUCUGAGCAAGUCUGGUUGAUUGAGGCAAAUGUGAGUAUAAGGCACUUACAUAGCAAUUUCUGCACAGUAGAAUGUUAGCAUUUCUGACUUUAAAAAAAUAAAAUAAAAUAAUAAAAAUAUUUAAAAAAAAAACACAAACACACAGUAUUCUGCUGAAAAUAAAUUACCCUUUAUUGAGAGAAGAUUAAACUUUCCUGCAGAAGAUACUAAGAAAACAAUGCUGCUUUCAUUUUUGUUCUGAAACUGAACUGAAAGCAGUUCUGAAGAAUUUCUGAAGAGGCAACUUCUGAAGAAACUCAUAUUAGGACAAAGAAGAGGGAUUAUUCCUGGGUAAGGCCAUCAGGGCUUAAAACAAAUUAUUUUCAAAAUUAACUUCAAGCAGCAGCUUUGUGUCACAACGUCACCCUUGUAGAAGCACCUUACGAUGAAGAGAUGCUCUUCUAAGCUUUGAACGGUGCAAGUUCAUUGUCAAGAGCAUCAGGUUGAUGAAGGGAAGCUUAACUCUAUGUGAGAGUAGCAAUUCCUCCUAAAAUAAUGCAUCCUGUUCUUUGGGACCAUAAGUGCUCGUGUCUGAGACUGCAGCCCGUAGUACAGGGCUGUUAAAUAUAGCUGUGCAUUAGCCUGCUGGAUGCAGAGAACAGGGCACGCUAUGAAUAAAUCGAUAUCUGCGUGGGCUGCACCAUGGGAGCUGUUACGGUUAUGGAUGCUUUGCGUUUAGUUAAAUGCUGGCAGCCUGCUCGGUGCUGGCCAGGAUGCUCUAACGGAGACAGUGCUGUCUCCCAGGACUUGCACUCUACGUGUCGAGCCUCAGAAAGGCAGGAUGUGACUGAGAAACCCAGAGGAGGGAUUUGUUCGGAAUUGUUCUAAUUAUUUAAGGCUUAACUCGGCACUUGCUCACGUGCAUUGCUCACCAGCAGGACUCAUUUCAGUGCAGAGCUCCAAGGAGGUUUAACUCAGCUCAUACUGCCCUGAAACAUAUAACUAGGGGUAGAUAAUGCCACCACCUCUUACCUGCAGCUGCCCAGAGGUUUCUGUGGGAUCCUUAGCCCUGUAAUUGGCGAAUGUGCACAGCAGUGACCUUGGUACAGAUGAGAGCUCACAGUCCACCUGGGGAAAAAAAGCAGAAAUCAGAAAUAAUGGCAGUGCAUUAUAAGGGUGCUUAAAAGCUAAAAGUUGUAUCUAAUCAUCAAUCACUGCUUUGCUUGGUUGGGAGAAACUCUAGAACAAAGCACUGAGAAAAAUAAGCUAAUUCCCUGCUUGUGUCUCAGGAUAGAGCUGGGAAAUAUAUCCCAGGUUUUCUGCCAGGGAACAGGUUUUACAGCAAAAGAAUGAAUUUAGUAGAAUAGCUGAUAUUUAUCCCAAGCAAUGUUAAACUCAGCUCUUUCUUCUAAAAGUUCAGGAUGCCUUAUCUGACCCCAAACGUGCACUCUGUGGGGACACAGGAGACAAUGCCAUCCUUUACUGGUUACAUCUUACUCUGCUCUAAGGUUUCUCCUGUUGCGUGAUGCACUAAUCUUUGCACAUCUUUCUAACUGUAUCUAUUGUGCCAGCACAAAGCAUUUGAUUUAAUCACCCCGUGAAACACUGGUGUGUGUAACAGACGUUCCUCAUCCCUUCAGCCACACAGGUGUGAUGGGAACAGCAGGCAGAGCCCUUCCGGCUGACCCAGAGCACCCACUGCCUCCUUCCCCCCCUUAGAGAUUGCUGGGAUAAGUGAAAAGAAAUACAGAAUGCCAGGACCAACACGACCCCACACCUCAUUCCCAUGGUGUACAAUGCACCUAACAACUGGUUCUUUCAGAGUGCUGCCAUUAAAAUAAAACAUAAAAAAAAAAAAAACACAUCACGUUCUCUGGCACUGAGCACAGUGUUUUCCAGGUAUCGCUGAUAGCCGGGUGACAUCUCAGCUCUCGGUGCUUCUGAGUGAGAAAACACUGGGCUCUUUUUUCAUGUAAUUGGAGCUGCUGAAAGUUUGUUUUGUUGUUGUUAUCACUUUCUGCUAAGUGCCAAGUGAAAGGACAUCGGGAGCCAAACAGAGAGGCUGCUGGGGAGAAGUGCGGGCACCCUGUGCCUCCCUCCUCUUCUGCUCUGAACCAAGAUGAGCUGGGGGCAAGGGGAGCUGUUGGGGAUCACUGACCCCCCCAGGAGCACAUUCAUCUCCCAGGGUCAUCCUGGCACUGUGCCUCCUUCCACACCCACUUUUUGGGACCGCCAGGCCCAUGGGCCAUGCUCCUCUCCCCUCCAAAGGGUGAGCAGGAGGUUCAGAAACCUUAGGGAUAAAUUCACGACCUGUCCUCCCAGCCCUCCCUCUUCUACAUCCACAGCUGCCUUGCUGUGGGAUUUGGGAUAAAUGGGUGGGAAUGGGUACAGCACUGGUAAAGGGGACCACCUUCUGCAGGUUGCCACCAUCCUGCCCAGGGUGGUAGGACAGCCCUACCCCACGCACCCUCUCUGAAGGCCACCGUGCCUCUGGGUGAGUAUUUUUUAGUAUUUAUUCUCAGCACUGUACAGCCAGCCAACAAUCUGCAGAACGGGAGCAAGUGUAAAAAAUUGGGCUCCUUUCCAAUACGUCUAAUUCAGGUGACAGGCUGGAUUAUCCCUGAAGGUUUUGGAGAAGUACUUUCUUCCUUUCUUUGACUAUAUAGGGAGAACUAAUUUUGGUUCCCAAGUGUGUCAGGCUGGAUCUGGGCCUUGGAUUCCUGUUCAGCUGAGCACUCUGGCACGUGCCUGUUUUUGAGUGGGUGCUCGAGACCCUGCAAAGUUCGUGGCACUUCACAUGAAUCCGAAGUUGCAGAGCAAAGGCACGAGGCAAAUGCAUCUUUUGGGCAAAGCACUGACUUUGGGAACCCUCACCAAGGCUCUCCCCAGCCCUUCAAGUCUCAGCAGUCUCUGAGAGAGCCCAACCUCUUGAAUCAAGAGAGGAGGUGAAUUAAACUCUCAUCAGAUUGGAGCUGGCAUUAUAAUGCAAGAAUAUGCAGUUGCAACCCAGCAAGAGCAAUGCAGGUGAAACAUUUCCAAUUCCCUUCUGCUAAGGGCUCUGUAGGGUUUGGGGAUGUUACAGCAGUUCAAAACACCCGUUACUAGUGAGUUUCCAUGUAUCUGCGUGUAUGAGUGUGCGUGUGUGUGUGCUGUGAGCAUAGAGUCUACUCUGAAGUAUUUCAGAUAAUUACAGAAAGCAUGAAGCUUUGCAGGCCUUGCUGAAUUAAAGCUUCUAAUUUAUUUAUUUCCCUAAAGCAUAGCUGUGGGUUUAGUAAUUUAUACUUUUACGUUAAGAUGCUCAUGAACUAUCUGGGCUGUUUUUUAUGACUAAAGCCAUUUACAUACGUUUCUCCACUUUAAAUCUUGCUCUCCCUAACAAAUGACACUCCCAAGCAGGCCUGGGCUACCAGAUUAAGCAGUUAAAAAACGUGGUCUUUCACAGUGCCUUGAAUAGAAAAUCCCACUUGAUUUAAACACUUAGAGUUGCCUAGUCAUAACUGUUAGCAUAAGAGUAGUUACUUUAGACUAACUCUCCCUUUAAAAAAAGAUGCCCUUAUUAAGGCAUUUGGAAGUCAGUAUCGUCUUUUCUGUCCUCUCCCAGGUUUUGCACAGCUGAAUCCUGACCUACAUUACGUCAUCUAGCCCUGAAUUUGAUGUAAGCCAGGGUGAAAUCUGGCUUAUCGCCUGUCUUAUAAACAAGGAAGGCCUGAGAGCAUUUUUCCCUUUCCAACCUGGGCUGAUGUCACUGUAUUGCGGAUGUAUUACUCAUAUCAAAGACUUUCGCAAAGAAACUUGAAGUCCGGGAAAACUACAAGGCAAAGUCUGGUGGCCACUGAAGCCCUCCAGCUGGGCAGUGCCAGCAAAGUACACCAGUAGAAGGGACGCUAUCACUAUUGCUAUCACCACUAUCACUAUCACCACAACAAUGCAAACAAAAUCAAGUGGAAAAUUGUCCUUCCACUUGGAAUCUUGUAUUUUUUUUUUUAAUCAUGUCAACACAAUCUAUUGCAGCAGAGCAGCUUUAUAUAUUCCAGCCCAAAUGGGAUUCAUAUACAAUAAGUUUUUAUUAACAGAUACUGGAUUUUAGUUGCCUCUGGAAUAAUGAUGAGAUAUCUAAGUCUUCAGUGGAAAAAUGGCUCGGGUAACUUGGCAAAAUUUUCUUCACUCCUCUUCUGAGAUGUGAGAGGGUGAAUAGACCAUAGAGGAGACAGCAUGGUUCUGCAAACCCUGAGGACAUAUUCCUGAAGCUCCCCAGACUCAAAAGCCUGAUGGACAAUGAGUUUUCAGAGGUUUCUGAGUAAGCAUUUUCACAGUUAUUGCUCAGAAGUUUGUCUCAGGCUGACAAAACCAGAGUCAAGAGUAUUUAGCAGGGUGUGCAGCACAGGCUGGCUAAUUCUCUUCUCCCAGUGUUCAGAGACUAGCAACUGAUGGCAAAUGCUUUGGCCAUCAAUAAGAGAACACCAUGGUAAUGACCAUGUAGAGAAAUGAGCUCACCUAGAGUUUUCUCCUCUACGUAUAGCUGGAGACAUGCAGGGAAAGAGAGGGAAACUCAACACUGACAAUCUUCUGAUAUUCUCCAGGUAGCCUACACGGGGCUCUUGAAGAAGGAUAUGUAGUAAUACCAAAAUAGAAAAUACCAAGUUGCACUUCUAGCUAUUUUUCCAAGGAAGGUUGUUCCAAUGAUCUCGGUUCUACCUCAGUUCUUGCAGACUGUGAUGGUAGGGGUUGGCAGAGGCAAAGGGACCCCAUCCAAGAAGCAAAAUGAAGGCUGCUGCCAGCCCUGUGCCUCCUCUCCAGAACUGUGAAUGUUGAUGUUGAGGCAGAAACAGGACUUUAUUGGGACUGCCAGUGGUUCAAAGAUGAAAAGGCCUCGAGAGGCUUUUUGUUAUCAAAUUCCACUUAUCCUCCCUGUUGUAACUUUCAUCACAGCUGAAGGGAUGCUGCCAAAAUCUGACUUCACUUCGGAAAGUGCCAGGAUACGCCACUGGAGUUGCAACAGAAGAAAGACAGUGGGAAGGAGACAGAAUUCAAUUCAGGUUAUGGCCUGCGAGAGGGGGAAAAGGCUGAGGGAGAAAGAAAAUGGUUUUGUGUUGCUUCCCAAAUCUUCCCCGAAGUUGCUAGGCAGGUGGGGGAGAUGAGGCCAGCCCCACUUGCCUGCUCUGCUCUUUCCAACAAUCACUUUUCAGACCGUUUUUUCCUGCCACAUGGGGAAACGGGAAAGGUUCCCACCAAAGCACUGCAAAGCCUGCCCCGUGAUUCCUGCCAGCUCUCUCCUCUUCUAUACAGCCGGCAAGAAACUGCAGCCAAACUGCAGCUGAGCAGGUAGCGUGCCGCUCUCUUCUUCCUGAGCAUCUCCCAACUGCACAACUGUUAUUUUUCUUUGACCCACUUUCAGCCCUGUGAUUAUGUGUUGCUGUCUGGAGAACAAGGUUUUAGGGCAAAGGACCACUCUUUGACAUAUGUUUGCUGAGUUUGUAGAGCAAUGAGAAUCCCCAGAUCUAUAUUUGUCUGUAACUACAUUAAUGAUGCUAAUAAUAUCUGCAUGACGAGUUGUAUCAGCCAACAUAAUCAGGAGGGACAAGAAAGCUUUGUUGCCUCCAUUCUUAGACCCUUUAGAAGUUCUUGCUUUCCAAGUGGAGAUGCUCACCUUUAUCUCAAAGUCCAACUCUUCUUGUUCUGCACUUCAGUUUUGCCCAAAAUGGAAUAUCUCAUCUUAAUAAUCAUUUUGGAAAAUUGUGCCUUAUUGUGUUUGUUCCUCACUUUUCCCUGAUUGUGCAAUGGAAGUAAGACUGCUUACUCCACCGUGAUUUCUCAAAGUACAUUCAGCGACUCCAGCACAAGCCAUUUGUGAACAAAACGUAAUUAAUAUUGUGAAAUGAUGAGCAAUCAACAUGUGCCAGCUGUUACCACAUGAACUUCUGUCCUUGGGCCCCUUUAUACUUAUAGGCCUCUCAUGUUAAAGGCAAGGUGAAUUCAGAGAGCAAUAAUGAUUGAAUUACACAUGGGUGAAAACUCAUAUUUGAGAACAGAGAGACAUUUUAGAUUAGUCCCGCAGAAGAUGCUGGUAACCAGAAGUAACAACGUCCACAUAUGGAGUUACUCAGGGACAGUUAUCUCUGGAACAACUAUUCCUUCAGGCCUCUUCUGGAGUAACUUCUUGUCUACAGUGGGAGAAGGCCCUGAAUAAUGUAAGGCACCACAGUGUGGAGCAUCCUGGAAACAGCUAUCUUGCAGGCAUCGAGCCAGUAGUGUACACUGCACUGCUUCACUUCACUGAAAAUAAAGCUAUUCUUCUUUUCUACUGAAAAAUUAUAAGCAAUUUUGGUAAAAGAUUUUCUGCUUCUAUUUUGGAUUUAUUAAUAGAGAUAGAACCAGUGUGCAUCUCAGCUGGUGUCCUCCUUCAGAGGUGACCAGCAGCAGAUGCCAACAGAAGCCUCAAUCAGAUGAGCACGAUGCUUCCUACAAUAUGUGCCCAAAUGUCAGGGCCUAGCUCAGGGAAUUCGUUGGGGAUGGAUUUGCAUCUUUGUGUUUACUUGCUCUUGAAGCUC